Molecule: ribosomal RNA, 253 nt
Filed under: uncultured bacterium
Lineage: Bacteria
Description: partial 16S ribosomal RNA
Rfam family: Bacterial small subunit ribosomal RNA
Source: RNAcentral
UACGUAGGGUGCGAGCGUUAAUCGGAAUUACUGGGCGUAAAGCGUGCGCAGGCGGUUCGCUAAGACCGAUGUGAAAUCCCCGGGCUCAACCUGGGAAUGGCAUUUGGGACUGCAAGGCUGGAGUGCGGCAGAGGAGACUGGAAUUCCUGGUGUAGCAGUGAAAUGCGUAGAUAUCAGGAGGAACACCGAUGGCGAAGGCAGGUCUCUGGGCUGACACUGACGCUCAUGCACGAAAGCGUGGGGAGCAAACAGG